UAAAUAGUAGCCUUAAAUUAGUGCUUUUUACAAGUUUUCGAUAAUUCCCAUUAAAUCGUUUGGAUAUUUUGAGGCUCAGAUGUGUAAAUGAGGGGCAAAAGAGACAAUGCACCCGCCAUGGCUGCAGACCCUCGGUUUGCACUACCAACAACAAAGUAGGCCUUACCGGGUCGCCCCGCCAAGAUACGGGUCCCCGCUCCAUUUGCCCAAUAAUGAACUCUAGACAAUUAUUUAAUAUCAUCACAGCCUCUCAUCCUUUACAAUAAUAGCCAUAAUGUUGUUGUGUUGAUGAUGAUGAUGAUGAAAACGAGGAGAUGAUGAAGCAAAAGGGUUAGAUCUUAAAACCUAAAC
Molecule: long non-coding RNA, 351 nt
Organism: Lycium ferocissimum
Lineage: Eukaryota; Viridiplantae; Streptophyta; Magnoliopsida; Solanales; Solanaceae
Exons: 2
Source: RefSeq, a predicted model, not a curated record